This 261-nucleotide ribosomal RNA is filed under the name uncultured bacterium. RNAcentral's name for it is "partial 16S ribosomal RNA". It matches the Rfam family "Bacterial small subunit ribosomal RNA", at positions 524 to 776 of the family's 1533-position model. The record is from RNAcentral.
UACAUGGGGUGCAAACGUUGCUCGGAAUUAUUUGGGCGGUUAAAAGGCGCACGUAGGCGGUUCGUUAAGUCGGAUGUGAAAGCCCGUCGGACCUCAACUGAGGAAGUGCACCCGAAACUGGCGAGCUUGAGUACGAAAGAGGAUCGCGGAAUUCCGGUGUAGAGGUGAAAUUCGUAGAUAUCGGGAGGAACACCGGUGGCGAAGGCGGCGAUCUGGGUCGAUACUGACGCGUGAGGUGCGAAAGCGUGGGGAGCAAACAGG